GGGCCCGCACAAGCGGUGGAGUAUGUGGUUUAAUUCGAUGCAACGCGAAGAACCUUACCAGGGUUUGACAUCCUGCGAAUCUCUUGGAAACAGGAGAGUGCCUUCGGGAACGCAGUGACAGGUGGUGCAUGGCUGUCGUCAGCUCGUGUCGUGAGAUGUUGGGUUAAGUCCCGCAACGAGCGCAACCCACGUCUUUAGUUGCCAUCAGGUUAAGCUGGGCACUCUAGCAGGACUGCCUGUGAUAAGCAGGAGGAAGGUUGGGAUGACGUCAAGUCCUCAUGGCCCUUACGUGUUGGGCUACACACGUACUACAAUGCUACGGACAAAGGGCUGCAAGUUCGCGAGGACAAGCAAAUCCCAUAAACCGUGGCUCAGUUCAGAUCGUAGGCUGCAACUCGCCUACGUGAAGGCGGAAUCGCUAGUAAUCGC
Molecule: ribosomal RNA, 429 nt
Filed under: uncultured bacterium
Lineage: Bacteria
Description: bacterial SSU rRNA
Rfam family: Bacterial small subunit ribosomal RNA
Source: RNAcentral